RNAcentral lists this long non-coding RNA (26596 nucleotides) under Citrus maxima (pomelo). RNAcentral's name for it is "long non-coding RNA (CMAX_LNC002200)". Lineage: Eukaryota; Viridiplantae; Streptophyta; Magnoliopsida; Sapindales; Rutaceae. The record is from RNAcentral.
GGAAUUGAAGGAAUCAAGAAGAGGAAUCACAAAGCUGUCGGUGAGAUGGGGUAGAUGUUGGCAAAAGCGUGGGGAACCUAUCUUGGGUCUCCUCCGGAGUUGUGUUCAAGCAUGAUCAUGGUUGGGUUCCCUGCUAGUUUGGGUAUUUCUAGUGAUUCUAUUGCUUUAAAGUUGAGUACCCACUUGAGGAAUAAUUUUUCUGUUAACGUACGUAUCUAUUAUAGGGCACCGGCUGAUGGGGUGAUUAACCAUGUUACAGGAUAUGCUUAAAUUUCUCAUUAUGUUUAAAACCGGAUGAUUACUACAAGUUCAGAGAUGCAGUUAACCAACUUGUUAAUGAUAAGUUCACCUCUGCACUUCUCUUCUAGGAAAGAGGUAUGUUUUAGAUCAUUGAAUAUAACAAUGUUAGCUAUUUUAGCUUGGAUAUAUUUUUGUAUGCCUGUUGUUUUUUGGUAAUUCGUUUCUCUUGGAUACCUGCAUUAUGAGGCAGCAACCUACGAUGAAUGUAAAAACUAUGUAGCGUUAUUAUUUUUGAGGAUAGUGACUGGUAACAAAAUCCCCUUCUGACCGUGUGAGAAGGGUUCAAAUGCCAGAUUCCUUGUAACAACUGAAGAAAUCUUACUACGUUUAACUAGUUGGCACCCACAUACUUUGUAUUGUUUCUUCUUAAUAUGGGAAAAGGGUACGAAGCAUAGGUUUGAGAUGUAUAUAAUUAUGCUGCUGACCUCUUAGCAUUCAUGAAGGUCAGUGAUCAUGUUUAAAAAAUGCUAGCAGCAAAUUUUACUCAUUUCUUCUUAGGUAGCUUAUUUGCAAAUGCAGCCUUUAGUUGUAGGUUAUCUUUGGAAGUGUUCGCAAGUCUUUGUGCUUCCUCGUUCUUCGCUAGUUCUAUGCUGUGAUUCAGUGAUUUGGAACCUUCUUCCCUCAAAUUUAUUGUCGAUAGUGCUUGUCCAUUUUGUUAAUCACAUUUAUACUGUGGAAAGUGAAGCCCUUGUCAUAAAGCAUGCACAAGUUGAGACAUAUAUAAACUUCUAAUAGUAUCUUUUCAUUUACUGAUCAGAUUUACUGACGGUCAAUCCCGAAGACGUACUGUACGUGCAAAGAUCAGGCCAUCAGAGACUUUAUGAGCAAUUAGCAAUAUUGUUGCUUUCAUUGAUUUGGAACCAAUAACGAGGAUAAAUUACUAUUUCAGAUGUGAGCAGCCUAUGUCAGUAAGAUUUUAUUGGCAAAAUUGUGGGCACUUUCUUUGGUUCAGAGCAUUAUUAUUGUUCUGUGUUGGCACGGAAGUUCCAGGUCUAUUGUCAAACAAUUUUUAUCAAAUUUCAUAGAAAUUUCUUCAAUAAAGAAGAUAAUGAUUCUGUGAUCCAACCUUUUGCAGUACUUGUGAAUCUAUUUUAUCAUAAGUUGUUUCUUACCUAUAUACUCAUCUGCAAUGGCAGGCAGUAGCAAUCUUCCGCGUAAGUACGAAUAAGGGCAAUUUGUCUCUCCCUGGAAGGCAUAAGUGGCCUCCUUUGACAUGGUUUCGGUGCCAUUAACACCCUAAAUGAGUAGAGAAACAAACUGCAGAAUGCGUAUAAAUGUAUAUGCAUAUAUAAUACUAUAAUGUAAUGGUUCAGAGAAAUAAGAAGCGCAGAAAGGUUUUUCUUUUGCUUCUUUGUUUGGGCUCCGUGAGAGCUAUUCGUGUACAUGUUCAAAUUUCAAAUUUCCAUUAUCGGAGGCACUUGAUGGGAUAAUAUUAAUGUCACAGAACAAGCGAUUAUUAUUAUUUAUUAAUAAAAGGACUCUAUGCUUGUAACUUUUAGAAUUAAGAUUCUUGCUAAUCUUAGCAUAUCUAAUCUUCCUUUAGUGAUUUGAUUUUGAUCCCCGUGUAAUUUUUAUUUACGUGCGGUCAAGUUUUAUUUGUUUAUUUUCAUUUUUUAAUAAACCUUAAUAAAGCCUUUCAAUAUGGCUCUAGAUACAUUUUUAUUUUUAGUUCAUAUACUAUAAGAACUCUUAAAACACAUAGCCAACUUGAGCUUACUCCUUGAAAGACUAAUUUUAAAAAGGGAGUGUUUUGCAAACAUUUUAAAUCUGGUUGCUAAGAGUAAGUUCGGAUUGCUGUCAGUAUGGAAAUGCUGAGAUGCCAUUCUUCAACUGUAGUAAUUUAUUAUUUUAAGGCGAUAUAUUAUAUGCACUUAAGCAGUAAAAGAUAAGUCAAUCAGUAUGAUUAGUCGAGCAUGUCGAUUGGAGCAAAAGUCAGCUAUAGCAGGGCUUAAUCUCUGAUAAAACCUUAAAUAUUGAUUUCUUUAUUGUUAAAGUUGAAAAAUCAACAAUAACAAGAGAACUCAUUAUCAGCUAUAGCAAAAAGUCUUUAGGAGAUGAGAGUGGGAUUCCUUUUCAAAAGUUUAGGGAUGCUUGAGUCAACAAUGUCAUAUUACAAAAAUGUCAAGAGUCAAAGCACCUAUAAUAUGAAAAAAAAAAAAAAAUUGUAGCUUCUCUAAUCUUUCCCACCAACAUUUUAAAUUCGUCUAAGCUUAUUCACCUAUUGACUUCUAAUGUAUUAUAAUCCUUCAAUUAACGCCUCUAAAUUCUAAUCAACUUAACCUCACGGAAACUGCUCAAGGGUGAAGCUCUCAGAACUCUGAGAACAUGACCAACUUGAGCUUACUUCUUGCAACACUACUCUUGAGUUUCAGUAUAUUGAAAAGCACUUGUCUUUGUUGCCCCCAAUAUCAGAAAGCGGCCCUGUUGGAGUUCAAAAGUCUAGUACUUGGAGACUUAGCAGACAAUAGUUCUGCUGACAAGAUGCUUGGAGGCUUGGAUACAUGGAAUUCAAGUUCGGAUUGCUGCCAUUGGGAAAUGGUGAGAUGCUUUUCUCGUGGAUCAUCAAAAGAGGUGACUGGCCUCAAUCUUAGCAAUCUUUUCCCAUUGGACUCCAAUGUGACGUCAGAUGUUUUGAAGCCAAUUUUUCGAAUAAGAAGCCUCAUGACGCUUGAUCUGUCCUACAAUUCAAUGAAAGGUGAAAUUCCCAGAACUGGUUUUGCGAAUUUAACCAAACUUGUAUAUCUUGACUUGAACAAUAACAACCUCAAUGGUUCCAUUCCAAGUCAGUUAUUCAGUUUGAGAUAUCUAGAGUUUCUUGAUCUCAGUACUAACGCCAUUGGGGGGAAAUUAAGUAGCAGUGUUGCAGGCCUCAAAAACUUGGAGCAGUUGAUCCUGAAUGGAAAUUUGAUCCAAGGACAGAUUCCUGCCGAGAUCGGAAACCUCACAAAUUUGCACAAGCUGUUGCUUCUCCAGAACGAAUUCUCUGGAGGAAUACCAUUGUCAUUGCUGCAACUGCGAGAGCUCGAAACAUUAGACCUGCGAAGGAAUUCGCUAUCUGGGGAGAUUCCAAAUGAUAUAGGGAUCUUGGCGAACAUGACAACUCUGGCCUUAAGCAACAAUGCUUUGACUGGUGCAAUUCCACAGUCAAUUCGAGACAUGAUCAAAUUGGUAACACUCAGAUUGGAUAGUAACGUUCUCGCUGGUGAGAUUCCAACUUGGUUAUUUGAUCUUCAUGAUAUGAAGAGCUUGUUUCUGGGAGGAAAUAAACUUAAAUGGAACAACAAUGUCAGCAUUGUUCCCAAAUGUAUGUUGACUGAAUUAUCAUUAAGAUCUUGCAGUGUUAGAGGGCCAAUGCCUCUCUGGCUUUCCAAUCAAACAGAGCUUGCAUUCUUGGACUUAAGUGAGAAUGAGCUCGAAGGAACUUACCCACAGUGGCUGGCUGAGCCAAAUCUUGGAACAGUUAUUUUAUCAGACAACAUGUUGACAGGUUCUCUGCCUCCUCGUUUGUUCGAAUCUCGAAAUUUAUCAGUCCUUGUUCUGUCAAGAAACAACUUUUCUGGUGAAUUGCCUGAAACCAUGGGUCAAAGCACUUCAGUCAUGGUACUUAUGCUGUCCAGUAACAACUUUUCUGGGCAUGUGCCAAAAUCUAUCUCCAAUAUGUAUCGAUUGUUGGUACUGGACUUGUCAGAUAACGGCUUUUCUGGGGAGUUUCCAUCUUUUGGUUCGAAUUCACUUACGGCAUGUAUUGAUAUAUCUUCCAAUAGAUUCUCUGGUGAGGUUCCUUCAGCUUUUGGGGAAACCACAUUUAUGCUGUCAUUGAGUGAAAACAAUUUCUCUGGGCAAUUGCCUCCGAAUCUAAGUAAGCUGAACCUGCUUAAACACCUUGAUCUUCAUGACACCAAUCUUACCGGUGAGUUUCCAGCAUUCCUCUCUCAGAUGUCUUCUCUUCAAGUACUUAAUCUCCGAAACACUGCCCUCAAAGGAUCAAUCACCGAUGGCCUGUCAAAUCUCACUAGUCUACGUAUCCUGGAUCUCUCCAACAACAACUUUGAAGGAAAAAUCCCAUCAAGCUUCGGAAACCUUGCGGGAAUGAUUGAUACUCCUAUUAUCUCAUCACGACUGCCAGAAACGCUCAUGUUUCCUAUUGAAAUUUUCAACGUUUCUGUUGAAAUCCAAGAUUUGAUCGUCAACUGGAAGAAUUCCAAACAAAGACUCUCUGGCAAAAGCCUGGCAAUCUAUUCUCUCCUGGACUUGUCUAACAACCAGUUAUCUGGUGAAAUUCCAUCAUCUCUAGGCAGUCUCAAAGGUCUGAAGUCACUUAACCUGUCUUACAACGAACUCCAGGGUAACAUUCCCUCAACUUUCGGCACCCUGGAGAUUUUGGAGGCCCUGGAUUUGUCACACAAUAGCCUGUCUGGAAAAAUCCCACAAACUUUUGCCAACCUCAAGCAACUGACCUCAUUAUACUUGAGCAACAACAAGCUCUCGGGUCGUAUUCCUGAGGGCCCUCAAAUGGACAGCCAGAUUGAUCCAGUCAUAUAUGCAAACAACAGUGGCUUGUGUGGGGUGUAGAUCCGGCUUGUUUGUCCUGAAGAUGUGGAACCACCACCUGAUUCAGUGCCAGAGGAGAUGGAGAAAGAAGAAACAGGAAUGUUUUCAUGGAAAGCCACGGCCAUCGGGUAUCCUGUUGGAUUCUUAUAUGCAACUGCAGUAAUGUAUGUGAUUGGUUACUUUAAUUCUGUACCAAAAUCUUCAGUUCCGUGGGCUAAGUCGUCAAGAAACAAGAAGUUCUGGGAAUUAUAGAGCCUGGACCUAAAGAGAUUAAUCAAUGUGCAUGUCAGUAUGGUCUAAUUAUACAGAGCAGAAAACUGUGUACACUUGCAAUGCAAGCAAUCUUGUCAUGUGAAGAUGCGAGCUUAACGCCUAGUCACAUGUUGGGAUUAAAUAAAUGCAGUUUUGCUCUCUUCUAAGGAGUUUUAGUGUUUUUCAAAUAAAGCAUAUAAUAACUAUGGAAAAGGUAGUUUUCAGACGAACAAAAUUCUGAUGCAUCUAUCAUUAGAUGUUUAAUAUCUUUUGUAAUAUAACGUGGAAAUAAUUAAUUUUAGAUUAUAUUUUGAAAUAAUACAUUUUAUAAAAUAUUUCAUGAGAUGUUGAAUAAAUUACAUGAGAUGAUUAAGGUAAAAAUGUGAGCUCUUUAUUCUAAAAUGGCGGUAUACAUCAGUGAGUUAGGGGUAUCAAAUUUAGCAAAUUUAACAAAAACGAUCCCAUCAGUGACUCCAGAAACCCAGAAUUACAUAAACCUAUAUAUAGAAUUUGAAAUAAGAUCAAAAUUGCACCAAAAAAUAAUUGGAAAGUAGAAAUUAUGUACUUGAAAAAAAGAAAAAAGAGAAAAAAAAUUAUAUACCCUUGUUGUGUAGCUGAUAAUGACCAUAAAAUUGCAUAGCUCCAUUGGGUACUCCAAACAGCCACAGCAAGCUUAUUUCUUUAGAUUUCUGGCACCUCCUCCUGGUUUUGAGCAGCGUUAGCCAUUGACAAGCACAAACAUCAGUAAAUUCAACUUAGAUAACCAGAAAGAAAGCCCCAUCAACAAGUAAAUUGGUCAACAAGCAAAACCUUCACUGAAAAGAAACUCCAAUAAUAUCCUGUCAACAAAUUUUGGUUCUACAAAAUAUCACACAUUGAGUUCAGUAACAUGCAGCUACAAGGUCCUUAUGGCGAAAUACCAUCACUGAAAAAAUCUUUAAGAGACUGAAAUUUUAGAUUGGUAGUACCAUCGAAUACUCAAACAAAACUAAUGCGCAAUUUCUGCUCUAGAGUGCUUGAAAUAUGCAUUUUGGUUUGUAGCGAUUAUGUUUGUAUGAGCUGGUAAUUUUUAAAUGUUUGGAUCUCGACCUGUUCUAUCAUCUGACAGAGAGUAGUUAAUAAAUGACUAGUAAUGCAUAUGCAAAAAAGCUUAUUCGGCACUGUCUGUAUGUAUGUAUAAUACUAUAGUGUAAUAAUGUGUCAGAGAAAUAAUUAGAAGAGCAGAAAGAGUUUUCUUUUGAUUGUUUUUUUGGCUCCACGAGAGCUAUUCCUGUACAUGUUCAAAUUUCCAUCCUCAGAGGCAAACUAAUGGGAUCAUGUCACAGAACAAGCAAGUGAUUAUUAUUAAUAAAGGGACUCUGUGUUUGUAACUCUUGGGAUUACGACUCUCCCCAAAUAUUAGCUUAUCUACUUUUAUUUUAAUGAUUUGAUUCUGACCCUCAUAUAAUUUUUAUUUAUGUAGGAUCAAAGAUUCAUGGGAAAUUUACAAAAAUAGCCAUAAAAUUUUAGCGUUUUUUAAUUUUAACCCCCCAAAGUUUUUUCUAUCAUAACUAGCCAAAUACCCUAUUUUUGGACUACAUUACCCUCAUCACUUUCAUCAAAUUUACAAAGGCAUGCCACUUUUUCCUUUUCAAUUCCAGCACUAUUAAACCUUAGCUCAACAACUUUUAAUCUAUUGAUUUUAUCAUUUGAGUUCGAAAUUGAAGUGAGUUUUUAUUGCAAACGUUGUUAUUUUUCAUUAACAAAACAAUGUGACUUGUUAAAGUAGUUAGCUUGAGUUGAGAAAUGAAGAUUAAUCAUUGAAACUCCUGAAAAAUCGAGCAAAACAUAAGCCCAGAACAAGUGAGACAGGCGCCUGUCUCACAUAAAACCAGCAGGUUUAUGUGAGACAGGCACCUGUCCCACUUGCCUAUCUCACCAAAAUAUGUGCGACAGGCAAGUGGGACAGGCGCUUGUCGCACAUAUAAAGCCAUUGGUUUUAUGUGAGACAGGCGCCUGUCUCACUUGUUCACACUGGUUUUAUGUGAGACAUGCAAGUGGGACAGGUGCCUGUCGCACAUAAAAACCCAUUGGUUUUAUGUGAGACAGGCACCUGUCCCACUGCAUGUCUCACUAAAUAUCAGUUAUUUUUCGAAAGUAAUAACUUGGGCUACAUGUGUUCGUUUUAGGCGUAUAAUAUAUCGUUUUGAAGCUUACGAUGAGACGAAACAAAUCCAAAAUUGUAUACUUCAUUUCAUCCACAUAAAUGUACUGCAUAUUCACUUUACUAGGUUUUGUAGCGUGAAAUCUUAUCUCUUUUGUUUUUUUUUUUUAUAAUUUUUAGGUUUAAUGGAUUCCGUUGUACUUCAAUUAUUUAAAGGUUUAAGUACUUUUGGCAUCUUAUCUUGAAUAACUCAGCAUUCGUGUUAAGAAAUCCAAAAAAUCUCAAGAACUAAUUUUAUUUCAAAUUAGGAAGCAAGAAAUUGCAUAUAUCAAUUUUCUCCAAUAGGAAUAAUAAAAUAAAAUAAAACAACUAAUCUUUGAAGGGAUGUGUAUAUAGCAUCAUAAAAAUAGAACGUAGACUGUAAAUUAUAUGAUAUUGAUAAUACACAAACACAGUACAAUAUAGAUAUUGCAAAACUUAAGGUUUGGACUUGUGCACAUCAUAAAAUGGAUUACCAAAAUCCACAUUGUAUUGCAUAUAUUGCUCUUUGAAGUCCAAGUUUUAGCUGUCAAACCAACCAGUUCAGGGGAUUCUGAAUAUAAAUAUUCAGCUAGCAUAACAUGAAGCUCCGGGGACCUAGUUUUAGGAGCUCCAAACUCUAUAGACCACCUGCAAAACAAAAGAACUAUAAGUUGAGAGCAGUUACUUCCAUGCUUAAGAAAUCACAACAUCCACCAAAAGCAAAAAGUCCAAUAAUACAAUGAGGCAAUGAUUUCUCACUUAAUAGCAGCCUUUAAGAAUGAUGAGCAGCCCUCUACACGCAAUUUUGCUGCACCAAGCACCAAGCGCGCUGUCUCUUGGUGCGACAUGCACCAAGAGGCAACACCAAAAUCGCUCGAGUUGCGCGCAGGCUGGCACGCAGCUCGCGCGAGCAGGCUGGCACACGCAUUUCGCGCGCGGCACGCGCAUCUUGCGUACGCGAGGCCACGCAUGUCGCACGCAAAAUGCGUGCGACAGGCUCAUCCCGCGCGCGCGGAUGGGCAUGUCCUGCGCAUCUCGCAUGCGACAGCCGCGGCCUCGCGCGCGGGAUGCAGCAUGGCCUUCCCUUUCACUUCCCUUUCCCUUCCCUUUCUCUUCCCUUCCCUUUCCCACAUGCAUCUCACCCACCACCGCCAUUAAACACCAACAACAGCCCAAACAACAACAGCAACAACAGCCCAAACAACAACAACAACAACAACUCACCUAGGGUUUCCAAUUUUUUUCUUUGAUUUUGGAGAUCUCCGAAGAUUUUCAACGUGAUUUAGCUUGUUUCAGCCGCCGACAACUUCCUCCACUGCCGAUCUACGCUGCCGAUGAUGUAUACGAGAUUCCGGUGAUGAGAUUUUGGUGAGAGGGGGAGGAAUUUCGCUUGAGAGAAACGUGAGAAUGAUGAGGGUAAUUUCGUCCACAAUUUGGUGAUUUGGCUAAUGUUGAAAGAAAAAAGUUUGAGGGGUUAAAGUUGAAAAAUGCCUAAUUUUUUUGGCUUGUUUUGUAAAUUUCCCAAGAUUCAUUCAUUUUUUUUUAGUAAACAUUAACAUAGCCUUUCAAGAAUUGAGUGGUUAAGGUCAAAAUCGUAAAAGCGCUAGAAAUUCCAAAAACUAACUAUGUAUUUUAGGCAAUACACAACUUUAAAUAUUUUCAUUAAUAUUUUAGGUCAUACAUUUAUUUCCAUGAAAUUUUUAAGGUACAUUAUCAUGCACCAUACAUUAAUCUCACAAUUGUUAUUAACAGCGCAAAACUAACUACUUGUAUGUUUUGUAAAAUUAAUUAUAAAGUUAAUGUACGUUACAUGAUAAUGUAAAUACCGACGUAGUACCCUUUAUGAAAAAAGAUUUUUGGAAUCCUAUAAAUGUUGACGGUUGAUAGGACUAUGAGAGACCCCGCGUAGUGAAAUGUGUACAUGAUUAUUAACACAUGGCUUCAAUUAUCUUAAUUUUUUGACUUUGUACAAGAAAAAAGUUCUUUUCUUUGCCUUUUUAAAAGAGAGUUUAUCUAAUGGGCCUACAAAUUCAAAAGGGCUCCACCAACCUCUCCUUCUACAGUACUUUUUUCUCUGAAAAAAGUGCAAAGAAUGGAAGCAUACGGAAGCCUUUAUGGCUUCUUUUAAUCACCUAUUAACUGGGUGCUUCUGUUUUCUUUUCCCUUCUUCUCCUUUCUAUUCUUUUUCUGUCUUUAUUUUGAUUGCAUUGUCCUUAAGUAUCACAACUACCUUGCUAGAGCUUGUAAAGUAAUCAUCGCAGAACGGUUGGUGGGGUUAUUACUGUUGGGAGGGAAAGACUUGUGAGGAAUGGAUACAAAAGAAUUAGUCAGAAAGUGUCAAGCUAUUGUCCUGAAGGAAGAAGAGGAAGACACAAUAACAGUCAUGGGCAAGCUGCGGGAAGCGGGCGAGGAAAUUGCAGCAAAUUGCAUAGUGGGGAAGAUAUUACUAAUGAGAGGAGUAAAUAGGGAAGGAUUGAGAGCCGCAAUGCAACAAGCUUGGAGAACAGUAAAGGAGGUCAAGAUAGAAAGCAUGGGGGAGAAUAUUUUUUUGUUCAAAUUUGCAUCGGAAGGAGAAAAGAAGAGAGUCCUCAUGGGGGGGCCAUGGCACUUUGAUAGAGCUUUAUUGGUGUUAUCCGAGCUUACUGGCAUAGGGGACAUAAAAGAGCAGUCUUUCACACAUACAUCUUUCUGGGUACAAAUCCACAAUAUACCUAUAAUGUGUAUGGUGCGAGAGAUUAUUCAAAAGCUAGGAGAGAAAAUCGGAGAGGUGGAAGAAAUUGAAACAGAUGCAACAGGGGAGUGCAUAGGCCAAUUUGCUCGAAUAAGAAUCUCCAUUAACAUAACACAACCUCUAAAAAAAGUGGUAUUCUUGCAAGAGGCUGGAGCCAAAAUACCAAUGCCUGUCCUGUAUGAGAAGCUUCCAGAAUUUUACUUUUCUUGUGCAAAGAUUGGCCACCAAUAUAGAGAAUGUUUGAAGUACAAAGGUCAGCCAAAGGAGAAUCUGCCAUAUGGGGGAUGGAUGCGAGCAAUAACACCAACAGAGAGGAUGAAACUAGCUCGAACCAGAGGAAAGGGGCACUAGAGAGCACCCUCAAUCGAAGACAAGUGAAGCAGAUGCUACUACAAGUCAAACUCAACACAACCCAACAGAACUAAACGGGCCAAACCAAAGAAACACGGGUAAAGAGAUGGGGGAUGAGAUGCAACCAAUGGUCACAAAUCAGGAGUCACAAGAGGGGAAUGCAGCUUUAAUUCUGAGUACAGCAGAGCCGGAUAAUCAGCAAUCAGAAAAUGAAAAUACAAGCAGAGAAAUCAAGAAGCAGCACGCUAAGGUGGCUGACAAUGACAGCCAGUCGAAAAGCAAAGUCAUAGGCACGGGAAAGAAAAAUUGGAGGGAAAUGGAAGUGAGGGGAACAGACACAAAAAGGGGGAAUGAUGAGGAAGAGGUUGAUAAUGGGCUGAGCAAUGCAAAAGAGAAGCCCAAAAUCAGAAAAUGGAAAUUACAAGCUAGAAGCUCAAGGAUAGAAAGAGGAAAAGACAAGGGGCCUAUCAAUUCCAAAAGGCCUAGUAGCGAGCUAACUUGGUCGAGCCCUGAAAACAAAAAGAAAAGAAAGCUUAGCCCAUCAAAAGCACCACUCAACUUAAAGCAGCUUAACUCCUCUCAAGCAAAACUUCAGCUGAAGUCUAUAGACACAGAGCAAGAUGAAACUGUGGAUGCAACAACAAUGGUGGAAGACGUAUUGGCGGGAGCUGGCAGCCAGCCCCGCCAGCAGCAAUGAGGGUCUUAAGUUGGAACGUCCGAGGUCUGGGGAAGCCUCGAACGUGUCUAGCCAUCAAAAAAAUUCUCCACCUGCAUCGGCCUCAAAUUUUUUUCUGUUGCGAAACAAAGAUGACAGCCCAACAGGUUUAUUCGAUAUGCAAUAAAUUUAAUUUUGAGAAUCGCUUUGCGGUAGAUAGAAUGGGUAUGGGAGGUGGUUUAGCUUUGUUUUGGAGUUCGGGAGUGAAUGUCAGUAUAAAGUCUUUCAGUUCUCAUCAUAUAGAUGCAGUGGUGCAGAACCCAGGUGGUAAAAUGUGGAGAUGUACGGGAAUUUACGGCCAUCCAGAAGCUGGUCAGAAACAGCACACGUGGUGUUUACUGAAAAGGUUAGCAGACAUAUCUCCUUAUCCUUGGUGUUGCUUUGGUGACUUCAAUGAAAUCCUUUAUUUACAUGAGAAAUCGGGGGGCAAUGGUAGAAAUCUCAAUGUAGUAGCUGACUUUAGAGAAACCAUUCAGGCAUGUAAUUUGGUAGACAUGGGUCAUAAGGGUUACCAAUUCACAUGGUCGAAUAGGAGGUUCGGGACAGGCUAUGUAAAAGAAAGGUUGGAUAGAUUUCUCUGUAGCAAAGAUUGGAGCAAAAGUUUCCAGAACCUUCCGGCAUCACAUUUGGUAAAUUGGGUCUCAGAUCACUGCCCAAUCAUGCUGGAUAUUAAAGAGAGAAGCAAGGAGAUAAAUUACAAGAGAAGAUCUUUUCCGAGGGACCAUUACGAAGACAUGUGGAGCUCAUAUGAGAAAUGUCAAAAUAUAGUGCAAGAAGAAUGGGAAACUUGUGGGGUCAGAAGGUGGGAGAAUCCGGUGAACAAUUUUCAGAGGGCGGCAAAAAACUCUCUAUCUCAGCUCAAGAUAUGGAGCAAGGUAGAGUUUGAUGGCAGAAAAAAGAAGCAAGAGGAUUUGAUUGAGAAACUGCAGAAUGCAAAGCAGAAUAUGGAUCAGUAUGUAGAUGGUGGAGAAAUCAGAAAGCUUGAAAAGCAAAUCAACAACAUGCUGAUUGAUGAAGAAGUGUACUGGCGUCAAAGAUCGAGAGCAGACUGGCUCAGGGAAGGAGACAAAAACACAAAGUUUUUUCACUCCAAAGCCUCGGCUAGGAGAAGAAAAAACAAAAUAUGGGGUAUAGAGGACACCCAUGGGAACUAGACAGAUGAUACAGAAAAAGUUGAAAAGGAAUUUUGCGAUUACUUCCAGCAGCUCUUUACUUCCUCCAGGCCAAGCCACAGUCAGACUCAAGAAGCCCUUAAAGGAAUGCCCCCAAAGAUAACUCCGGAAAUGCACACUCAUCUGGAGGAACCCUUCACACCAGAAGAAAUUGUAAAUGCACUAUCUCAAAUGUGUCCUACAAAAGCUCCCGGACCGGAUGGCUUACCUGCAGCAUUUUUCCAAAAACAUUGGCAGGCUGUGGGCAGAGGGGUAGUCACAACAUGCUUACACAUUCUCAACGAGCAAGGUGAUUUAGCUUCGCUCAACCAUACGUAUAUUGCUCUAGUACCUAAGACUGAGAAAUCAAAGAAAGUUACUGAUUUUAGGCCUAUUAGUCUAUGCAAUGUGGUGUAUAGAAUCAUAGCUAAGGCAAUAGCGAACAUGCUGAAACUAAUUCUUCCCCAAAUCAUAUCCCCAACUCAGAGCGCAUUCAUUCCCAAUAGACUCAUUACAGACAAUGUGAUUAUUGGUUAUGAAUGCCUCCACAAGAUUAGACAUAGCAAAGGGAGAAGAAAUGGGUUAGUGGCUCUAAAAUUGGAUAUUAGUAAGGCGUAUGACAGAGUCGAGUGGAGCUUUCUAGAUCAAAUCAUGGAAAAAUUUGGUUUCUCGAAUAAAUGGAGGAGUCUAAUCAUUAGUUGCAUAACCACUGCUCAAUUUUCAGUCAUUAUUAACGGGACCCCCAAAGGCGUAAUCCUUCCGGAAAGGGGUCUAAGGCAAGGCUGCCCCCUCUCCCCGUAUCUUUUCAUCAUGUGUGCAGAGGCCUUUUCAAAUUUAUUGAUCCAGGCUGAGAGGAAGCAGCAGAUUAGAGGGCUGAGAUUUGCAAAGGAAGUUACGAUAUCCCAUCUUAUUUUCGCUGAUGACAGCUUAGUCUUUACCAGAGCCUCAGAAGCAGAGUGUAAGAACUUAAAAGGGAUUUUCGAUUGCUAUGCGAAGGCAUUAGGGCAGAUUUUUAAUUAUGAAAAGUCCUCAAUGUUUCUCAGUGGCAAGAUUACAAGUGGUCAGGCUGCAGCAAUUAAAAAUAUUUUCCAGCUCAAAGUGGUGUCGAAAUAUGAAAAAUAUCUAGGCCUUCCAUCUAUGAUAGGCAGAAGGAAAUCAGGGUUCUUUAAUGAGGUGAAGUUGAAGGUGAUAAGCAAGAUUUCAAGCUGGCGUCAUAAGAUGUUCUCCAGCGGAGGGAAAGAAAUUCUCAUUAAAGCAGUAGCACAGGCAGUACCGGCGUAUGCUAUGAGUGUUUUCAGACUUCCAAAGGGGCUAUGUGAUGAUAUUCAAAGCCAUUGCGAAGUUUUGGUGGGGAUCAAGGGAAGAUAAAUUCGGAAUCCACUGGUCAAGAUGGGACAAAAUGAGCCAAGCAAAAAGUAGAGGAGGGCUGGGAUUCAGAGAUCUUACUAGCUUCAAUCAAGCUUUGGUGGUUAAGCAGGCAUGGAGAUUGCUUCAGCUUCCCAAUUCGUUGCUGGCUAGAGUACUGCAAGCAAAAUACUAUAAGCAUUCUUCAUUCUUGAAUGCCACAGCGGGAUCCAAUCCAUCUUUUAUAUGGAAAAGUAUUCUAUGGGGAAGGCAAGUGAUUGACAAAGGCGCAAGAUGGAGGGUGGGAAAUGGAAGGAAAAUCAGAACUUACAAAGAUAAUUGGCUGCCUAGACCAGACACUUUCAAACCAAUCUCACCUAAAAAAUUGCCAGCUGAAACUAUGGUGGCUGAACUGAUUAAUGAAGAAAAUCAAUGGAUCGUAAGCAAGCUGGAGCAAAACUUUCUACCCCAAGAUAUCGAAGCAAUCCUACAGAUUCCACUCCCUAGAAGCAAAAAAGAAGAUGAAGUGAUGUGGCAUUAUGACAAAAGAGGAGAGUAUUCAGUAAAGAGUGGAUAUCAGAUAGCUCUCAAGCUCAAGGUUCAAGAUUUGCCAAGUAGUUCAGGAAGCUGCUCCAGGCAAUGGAAUGUUUUGUGGUCUUUGGAGUUGCCUGAGAAGAUUAAGAUUUUCAUGUGGAGGGCAAUAAAAAACAUUUUACCAACAACUGAAAAUCUAUGGAAAAGGAAGUGUUUGCCAGAGCCUACCUGUCCAAGAUGCCAGAAGAAUGUGGAAACUAUAAGUCAUGCCCUGUUUGAAUAGACCUGGACUUUAGCCCCAUCCACUUUCGAGCAUCAGAAUGUUCCAGGUCAAGACAUUUUCAGCUAUGUCCAGAAUCUUUGCAGCAAAUCCAGGAGAAAUGAAGCUGAGCUUAUGAUUAUGUAUUGCUGGGCUAUCUGGUAUGCCAGGAAUAAGUUGAUAUUUGAAAGAAAGAAGAUAGAGCCAAUGAUGUCAGCAGCAAAGGCAGAAUCAGUGUUAGAAGCGUUCCAAAGAGUGAGAAAAACAGGACCUCUCCAUAUUAGCAAUACCAGAGAGGAAAGCCAGCAGAGAUGGUCACCACCCCCAAAAAAUGUGCUCAAGCUUAAUGUAGAUGCAGCAACAAGCAGCAAGGAUCAGAAGGUUGGCUUGGGAGCAGUCUUGCGUGACUCAAAUGGCAGAGUAGUAGCAGCAGGCAUCAAGCAAGCUUCUCUCAGGAAGGAUGUCAGUUUUGCAGAAGCUGAAGCUAUCCAAUGGGGUCUCCAGAUUGCAAAAGAUGCAGCUGCAGCAAGCUUGAUUGUAGAGACUGAUUGCAAAGAUGUGGCUGAGCUAGUCAACAACACAAAGGGCAGCAGGUCUGAGAUUUUCUGGAUAAUUUCGGAAAUCCAAACCCAGAAACGAGAUUUCCAAAGGAUCCAAUUUAAUUUUGUACCAAGAUUUUGUAAUGCACAUGCCCAUUCCUUAGCUAAACAUGCUCUAAGGAAAGAUACAACUGCUGUCUGGUUAAAUAUACUACCAGUAGAAGUGCAGAAUGUAUUUGACAGUGUUGUUUAAUCAGUAAUGAAAGGUUUACUUUCUCUUCAAAAAAAAAAAAAAGAGAGUUUAUCUAUAGACUAAAUAGUAAGGAAAGUAUUUGUUUUUGUUUUGUCUCGGCCCAUAGAUAAAAUCCCUAGUGGCAUCCAAUGAAUAAGAGGGCAAAUUGUAUAUUACUCCUUUCAUAAAUUAACUAUUAUCAAAUCGCUUAUUUUUUUUUAUAACUUUAAAUUACCACUAUAUAUAAUUAAAGGAUUAAAAAAAAUAUACGAAUAGGUUGAUGAAUUUUUAUAUUUUUUAAUAAUAAUAAUAAUAAUAAUAAUAAUAAUAAUAAUAAUAGUUUAAAUAAUCAUAAAUUUUGUGGGAAGUAAUCCAAAAUUAACUCUUAAGGAAAUGACUUAUUUAUUUAGUGUUGAAAUGGUGAACGAAAAAAGGUAUGGUUGGCAAUUUGUGGGCAUGGGCCGGGCUUUUCUAGGCCCCACAUUAUUCAAACAAAGCCCAGACCCUUUAAAAGCCGGGCUUGGGCUACGCCUAAGCUUUUUCAUUAAUUAUAAAAUAAUUUUUUUAAUUAAGAAAAAAUAUUUAAAUUAAAUAUAAUUAUCUAAUAUAUAAUAGAAUCAUAGUCCAAUACAUAAAAUAUUAGUAAUACAACCUAAUAAAUAACAAAUACUAAUAUAAAAAAUUAAACUAAUUUAGUUUUUUGAAUUUUUUUUAAUUUAAAUUAAUUUUAUAUUUUAUUUAUAAAUUAAAAAAAACCCGAACCGAUUUAUGCGGUUUUACAUUUUUUGAGCAUAUAUCCAGGCCCAACCCAGGCGGACCGGGCUUUAGGUCCAUGGGCUUGAUGGAUUUUAUGUAUAACGUUAUUAUAAGUCACAAAUCAUAGUAUUAUGAUUGCUCUAGCACACUUUACCUCAAUGCUAUGAUAAUAUUCACUACAUUAGUGUCGAUAUGGUCAUACCUAUUUCUUUUUUUGUUUCAAUUAUAUGUUGAUUUUAUAAUUAUAAGGAUUUCUUUAUGAUACUGUAUGUAUUUUUACAGCAUUGAUAGCGGGAUUAAUGUGGACCAUUAGUUUUAAGUAUUUUAAUCUCAAUCGUCCAUUUAAUAUAAUGGAUAAUUAAAUAAUUAAUGAAAAUGUAGCAGGUAAUUUACAAGUUGCUGGUAAAUAUUUGUUUUUUUAAUUUUAAAUUAAUAUUAAUUUGAGAAAAAGCCACACACACCCCAAGGUUUGUUCAAAUAGUCAUAUAGAUCCACUUAGUUUCAUAAAUGGUAAUAUAGACCCCUUAAUUUUCAUAAAUGACUAUUAUACGUUUUGAUUUAAACAACCUAAAUAAAUAUACAUAUAGUAAUAGGAUAAUAAUAAUAAUAAAUAUCAUAUGAUACAAAUAAAAUAUUAAAAUAAGAAUAAUUAAGAAAAUAACAUGUAUAAUGAAUUUUUUUUAAUAUUAAGUUAUUAUUAAUCUAUCCCGAUGGAUUUAUUAAAAUCUACUAAUCCAAAAAUUGACUUUAAGAUAGAUAUUAAUACAUAUAUAAUUAGAAAAGAUAUUGUAAAUAAAACACUAUAAAUUUUUAUAAAUUGUUGUGAGUGUUAGGUAUAACUAUUUCAAUAUUCUAUAUCAUACAUCAUACUUAAGAUGUUGAUUUUGUGGAAGUGUUAUGCUAUUAAACAUUAAGCUUUGCAUUUAUAAUGUGCUACAACUUUAAUGUAAAAUGUAAUAAAAAAUAUAAAGACAUUUUUUAGUAGUCAAUUGUAUUGUAAUAUGAUCAAAUUACGACAGAGUUAUCAUAUUUUCACUGUUGAAUAUGCAUAUGAUUCUUAUUGAAUACGAAUGUGCAUCAUUACGGCUAGCACAAUUUCAUCAUCAUCAUCAUCUUGCAUCCAUUUUAAAAAAAAUGGAAAUAUAGACCUAAAAUAAGCUAAUGGAGGAAGACCAACAGUCCUGAAAAGUUGUUCCAUAAAUUUAAGCCUACGGUCAUACUUAUUUCUAGACUGACACUCCAAGUAACUUAGGGCAUGUUCAGUAUCAUUUUUUAGCCCCUAUUUUCAUUUUCAUUUUAAUAGUAUAGGUGUAAUAUAUGUUUGGCGAGCCUAAACCUUAAAUCAAAUUAUAAAAUGUAUUAAACAUAAUCUAUUUGACAGUAAUAAAAGUUAAAACAUGUUAAACACAUUCUCUGUAAAUUACAAAACGAAUUAUAAAAUAAUAUACUACAUGUCCUCCAAAGCAUAGCAAAUAAAAUAUAUUUUACAAACACUACUAUAGAAAGACAUAUAAGACAUAUGUUAAGUUAGUAGAGGUGAUUUUUCUUGUAGUCAUUAAGACAUAUGAAUUGAUACCCACACACACACACACAUAUUGAGUACUUCUAUCUACCCCUAUUUAUUAAUAGAAGGGAAAUUAAAAUCGUAAUUACCCCGAUAUAUUAUGAAUUGAUAUGUCACAUAUAAAUAUAAGUGAAAAUUAAUUUUUAAAUUAAUGAAGUAAACCAUAUAUAGGUAUUUUAUUAAUCUAAGGUCAAAUGAAAUAUAUCACAUGACAUUUCAUGUAGUAGUCCAAUUUUUAACACUUGCAUAUAGUUUUGUAAGCUAAUAAGCCAAUGAAAUAUACCACAUGAGAAAUUGAAGGGCUAUUAUUUAUAUUUCACUAUUGGACAAAUAUGGAUCUUCCAAAUCUCUUCCAUGGCCAUAAAUUAGAAUAAAAAAUCACAUAGUAGAGACUACAUCCAUUUGCAUGCUCUCAAAAUAGAUUUUGAAAUUCGUUUUGCAUGCUUUCAAAAUAAAUUUUGAAAUUAGUUUGGUUACAUGAUAAUCAAAUUAUCUUAUAACAUUAAUGAUAUAAUUUAAACACUAUUUUAAUAAUUGUGAGUUUUACAUUAAAUCUUCAAAUUAAUUACAUAUUGUCACUCUUUCUUGUUUUGCUUGAAAUUUCUAUUUAAUAAAAUUACGAAAAUUUGAUAAUGAAUGGUUUAGGAUACAUAGGUAAGAUAAACUUUAAAAGUCUAAUGAAACAUUCCUAUGAAUGUGGGUUUCGUAUGCAUGUUCAUAUAUUUCAUUGAAAUCAUAUAUUUUAUUAAAUUUUGUGUUAUUAAACGAAAUUGUUAUUCAAGUAAAAAAUGUGAGAAUAUUUAAAAUUGUAGGGGUGGUCAUUGAAAUUUCUCAUACUUCUACCAACUCCACGAUCCAACAGUUGGCCCCUUUGUUAAUCGGUUAUGUUAUUUUAAAAAUAAUUAAAUUUUUUUAUUAAUAAAUAUAAUGUGCAUUAUUGAUUAAAUUUGAUGGUUAAUAUUGCUUACAUUAUUAAUGCUGUAAAAAAAUUACAGUAUCAUAGAGGGACCCUAAUUAUAAUGCAUAAUCUUACAUUUAUUUUUUUUUAAAAAUCUUUUGAUAGAUUUUAGUUAAAACUUAAAUAGUUAAAAUCCAGCUCAGCCCAAAUAAGACACUUAAUUGGGCCAAAAAGCUCAUCAUUACCGAGUACAUGGGCUAUCGCAUGCUCAUUCUUUCAAGUAUAUCAAUACACGCGCAAUGUUAUAGCCAUUUGGUAAUUAAUUUCAUUUGAUUUUUGCUGAGGGUCAUUAUAGUAAAAACACUGAUUUAGCAUAUUCAUUUAUGGAAAUUGCAAUUUAGACAUUUUGGUCAAUUAAAUAUUUUCAACCCAUUUUUCUUGUGACAGUUUCAGUCUCUGUUUCAGGUCUUGACGGAUCAAAGCAAGCAGGAGUACGGUUUUGGCUUUAAAACUUUGCGCAGUAUUGUGUUCUGUAUCUGGAGAGGGAUUUAUAAAUGGCAUUGAGGCAGUUUUUUGGUUUUUCUGAUGGUGAGCUGAUGAGGUCGGAUGCAAAGCCUUGUUCCAGACUAAUGAGGCAGACGGCUGGCAUUUUUACUGUUGGAGGAGCACUUGGGUUCUGGGUUCUUUGCAGACUCCAUUAUGGUAUAUUCUACUUUGCUUCUUAUAUUAGUAAUGCCAUCAUGGUAUAUUCUACUUUGCUUCUUAUAUUAGUAAUGCCAUCACUGAUCAUCUGCAUGCAGUUUGUAUGCCUGCUAUGAGAUUCACUCGUUCUUGAUGUUAUCUCUGCAUUGAAAAUAUAGUAAAGUGUAUGCCAAUGCAACAAGGAUUCGAUAUAUUAAAUAAGUGGCUGGGCAUUAUCUUACUGUUUUAAGCUUUUUGUUUUUCUAAAUAGAAUGUAUCAUGUGUGAAGAUGAGCAAUUGUUGUUUGUAUAAGUUGUAUAAGUGUCAGUUUGCUUUUGGAUGUGUUGUAAAUGUUGUUAAUCAUCAUUAAGAAGGCUUUCUGUGUAUAAGCAUGGGUAUUUUAGUUUUUGUAACUGUAAAUCUAACAAGAAAUGACUGACUUGCUUCCCUGAGUUUGUAUUAUGAUAAAAUGCAUCUGUUACUUUUCAUCUUUUUGCCUUUUUCCGGCAUUUUAUCCCUUGUGAUUAAAUUGAAACCAUAAAAUGACUCUCUUAUUUAAGGACAAAAGCUAUAAAAUGACUCUCUUUUCUCCUUUUCUGUGGUUUCAACAUUUGGAUAUAGUCAAUCUAAUAAAAACAGAAAAUAUUUAUGACUCUAUGCUUUUGCAGGUCCUAGAGUUACUGUUCCUAGAAGUCUUCGAUGGGCAGGCUGCGGUGCAGUUUCUGUGAGCUCAACCACCGCUCUGCUGGUUCGCCUAUUUAGUCCUGAAUGUGAGCCUCAGAAUAUAGCUGCUUAUGAUAGGGGAAAGUAGUGAUUAGCUGGCACAUGGACGUUGCACAUUGCUGUCCUAAAUGUUCUAUUAAUACUCUUUACUCGCUAUUUAGCAGUGUCCUUAUUAUCACUAGAUGUCCAGGACUGGGUUUGUGCAAUGCCAUUUUCUCCGCAAACAGAUAUACUCAUUUUUACAGAAAUGCUGACUGUGUACGAGAAUUAUUUUCCUUGGAUAUCCCUUGCUCGUAUAUUAUAUAUGGUUUUUAGGACACAAGAUUAAUAGCUUAACGUGAUCUUCACGUUCUUAGUUGGUAGUAUUUCAUUAUGUUUAGAAGUGCAGUAGUUCAUUAUGUUAAGAAGUAUAUUACUUAUUAUCUCUUUAGCUGUAACGUGUAUAUAAUGUAACACUCAAUAGCAAUACAAUAAGCAGUUCCAUGCAAGCUUAACAUGGUAUCAGAGCCCUCUCUCUCUCUCUAACAAGAGUAAAUCGAUCCUUCUCUUUUUUUUUUUUUUCUCUUUUCUCUCACCAUGGCCACCGAUCCCUCAGCCAUCUCCUCUACCUCACCAGCCAGCCAAAAUCCCCACUCAUCAAAUAACCAAGCUAAUGAUUGUGUUUCAAUCAACGCCGCUGCCCAAUUGCCUAUACGACUUACACCCAAAAAUUAUUUUACAUGGAGAGCGCAAUUCCUCUCUUUAGCUUUUGGCUACAAUCUGACAGGUUACAUUGAUGGCACAUCUGAGUGCCCUUCUCCGUAUCAAACUGGCAGUAGUAAUAGUCCGCCUACCAUCAACACAACCUAUACCUUAUGGAAACACCAAGAUCAGUUGAUCUUUCAUUCCAUCCUAGCCUCCUACACCGAAAGAGUUGCCCCACUCAUAGCUAGUUCCACAACAUCCAAGCAAGCGUGGGAUAAGCUUGCACGGCUAUACUCCAAUCGUAGCCGUAGUCGCGUUAUCUCUCUUAGAGAACGACUUGCACGACCUCGUCGUGAUGGACAACCUGUUGCCGAAUAUUUAAAUAACUUACAUUCUAUUUCUGAUGAAAUUACUUUGAUUGAUAUUCCUGUUACAGAUGAUGAUCUCGUGGUACAAAUUAUUAAUGGCGUAGGCAAAGAUUUCAAAGAAAUUAUUGCUGGUGUUCGGAUCUGUGAGACACCACUUUCUUUUGACGAGUUGUAUGAAAAGCUUGUAGAUUACGAAGAUAUGUUGAAGCGAGAGGAAAAAUCCAUAGACAUGGCUAUCACUGUCAAUGCCGCAGUCAAACAGCAGACAACAAACCAUGGACCUUAUCAGAACCAGAGAAGAGACAGCAAUCUGGGAUUUAAUAAUGGUCCUAACCGUGGGUAUCCAAAUCAAAAUAGCAACAACAGAAAUUACCAAUCUCAGAAUCACAACCCACAAGGCCAGUAUCGCAACAAUGGAGGAUAUCAAAAGAAGCAGCCCACCGGGUACCAGGGCUACUGUCAACUUUGCGGUACCAAGGGCCAUACAGCACGAGAUUGUCCAGAUUUUACCUCCCACAAAAACAGUCCGACUAUGAACCACACAGCAACCACAGGCACAUCCAACCCCAAUUGGUUAGUCGACAGCGCCGCCUCACAUCAUGUUACAGGAGAUCUCCGAAAUUUGAGCACUCAUAGUCCUUACCAUGGUUCUGAUUCCGUCAUUGUUGGUAAUGGCAUGGGUCUUGGUAUAUCUCACACUGGCUCAACUUCCUUAUGUACCUCUAACUCAAAAUUUUAUUUGCAAAAUAUUCUUUAUGUUCCGACUAUCAACAGAAAUUUAAUCUCCGUGUCUCAAUUUUGCAAUGUUAAUGAAGCCUCCAUUGAAUUCUUUCGUGAUCAUUUUCAGGUGAAGGAUUUGAGCACGGGGGCGGUCCUCUUGCAAGGCCGGAAUAAUCAGGGUGUAUAUGAGUGGCCGGCAACUUCUUCUUUCCCCGUACCAGCCUUGCCGACUUCAAAUGCUACAAUAAAAACUGAUGCCGCUCACUGGCAUCAGCGUCUAGGCCAUCCGUCUAGGGAUAUUUUGAAAUUUGUUCUUCGUACCUUGAAUUUGUCUUCGCACUUGGAUUUUGAGUCUUGUGAGUCUUGUUUAUGCAAUAAGAGCCAUCGGCUCCCUUUUGGCAAAUCUUCUUUAUGUAGUACUCGUCCCUUGGAUUUAAUAUAUUCUGAUGUUUGGGGUCCUGCCCUUGUUACUUCCUUUGAUAAUUAUAAGUACUACGUGUUUUUCGUUGAUCAUUUUACUAAGUAUGUCUGGUUUUUUUCCGUUACGGCUAAAAUCUGAUGUUUUCUCUACAUUUGUUCGUUUUAAAACACUUGUUGAAAAUUAUUUUCGUACUACUAUUCGUAAUAUUUACACCGAUGGUGGUGGUGAGUUCCUCAAACUCACCUCAUUUUUUCAACAGACGGGCAUUAAUCACAAGCUUACACCACCCUACACACCACAACAUAAUGGAGUCGCCGAACGUCGUCAUCGACAUAUUGUUGAGACGGGGUUGGCGUUACUUCAUCAAGCCUCGCUACCUCCUAGCUUUUGGACGUUUGCGUUUCAAACCGCCGCCUACUUAAUUAAUCGUCUACCAUCCAAAACUACAUCCAUGACCUGUCCUUUCCAGCUCUUAUUUGAUGCCCAUCCUAAUUAUGCUACUCUAUGUGUAUUUAGGUGUCUUUGUUUCCCGUGGUUACGCCCAUAUAUGCGCAACAAACUAGAGCCUAGGUCCAAGCCUUGUGUGUUUCUCGGUUAUUGCCUACAACAAAGUGCAUACAAAUGUUUAGAUGUUCAGUCUGGUAAGAUUUAUGUUUCCCAUGAUGUUCAAUUUAUUGAAUCUUAGUUUCCUUAUCAAUCUCUCACAUCUACUGCCUUUCCCUCUUCUGUUUCACUCACCUCCUGGUUUCCAUCCAUUUUUUCAGUCCCGGUUUUGUCGGCUCACUCCUCUUCUCCUAGUGGUUCCCGUCUUGCAACUUCGGAUUCGCUUCCUGCUAGCUCCGAUUCUUCACUGGCCUCUUCCACAUCUACUUCAGGUAUUAUUCAUAACCCUCAUACUUAUGACUCUUUACCUCCCCAUGUCCAUGCACCAGUACUAACUCCCUCAUCUCUCAUCUCCAAUCUUUCAUCACCAGCCCCAUCUACUUUCCCGUCGUCACCAACAGUCCCAUCACCGUCACCACCAACACCUCCACCUCCACUGCCGACCCGAACCCAUCCAAUGAUAACCCGGUCACGCAAUAACAUUUAUAAACCAAAACGGCUUGACCACACUACCCUCGCUCCUAUUAUUUCCACACAUUCGCUGCCCUCUACUGUUGAACCAACUAGUAUUAAGGCUGCCCUUGCCGAUCCGCAAUGGCUUCAGGCCAUGCGUAUUGAAUAUAAUGCUCUUAUUUCUAAUCAUACUUGGGAUCUUGUUCCUCCUGUACCUUCUCAAAAUUUGGUUGGUUGUAAGUGGGUGUUUCUUGUCAAACGCCACCCCGAUGGUUCUGUUGACAGGUAUAAAGCGCGGCUGGUUGCUAAGGGCUUUACUCAGCGUCCUGGUCUCGACUACCACGAUACCUUCAGCCCUGUUGUCAAGACUGCUACUGUUCGUGUUAUUCUUUGCUUAGCCUUGCAAUUUGGUUGGCCGAUUCGUCAGUUGGAUAUCAAUAACGCCUUCCUCAAUGGUUCUCUUGACGAGGAAGUUUACAUGAAGCAGCCGCCUGGUUUCAUUGACUCUAACCGACCUUCCUUUGUUUGUAGGUUACGCAAGUCUCUGUAUGGCCUUAAGCAGGCGCCUCGUGCAUGGUUUACUACUCUGCACAAAUUCUUGCUGUCCUAUGGAUUCCGCCAAAGCAAGACUGAUGCUUCUCUUUUUCUUUAUCACCGUGAUGGUCAUCGUAUUUAUUUUCUUGUCUAUGUGGAUGACUUAAUUAUUACUGGUUCUCGUGGCCGGGUCAUUCAGCACUUCAUUCAUCGUCUUGCUUCCACUUUUGCUCUCAAGGACCUUGGCUCUCUGCAUCAUUUUCUCGGGCUUGAGUUGCUUCGCACUCCGUCUGGUGUGUUUCUCUCUUAGCAUCACUAUGUUCGUUCUCUCUUGGACCGGUUUGGCAUGACUGAUGCUAAACCUAUUGCCACUCCUCUGUCUGCCACCAUUGGUCUUCAACAAACCGAUGGUUCUGUCUCUGUUGAUGGUACGUCUUAUCGUCAGCUUCUUGGUGCCUUGCAAUAUCUCACUCUCACUCGUCCUGAGAUCUGCUUUGCGGUCAACAAACUAUCUCAGUUCAUGCAAAGUCCCUCUCAGUUGCAUUGGCAGGCUGCCAAGCGCAUACUCCGUUACUUGAAAGCUACAAUUUUUCAUGGCCUUUUUCUUCGUCAGUCCUCAUCCUCUACACUUGCUGCUUAUAGUGAUUCUGACUGGGGGGGGGGCAAUCUUGAUGAUCGCAGCUCUACGAGUGCUUACGCUAUCUUCCUUGGUGGCAAUCUGUGGCACGUUCCUCUACUGAAGCCGAGUUUUGCGCCAUUGCUGCUACCGUUUCUGAGCUUUGUUGGCUUCGACACUUGUUCUCAGAACUUAGCAUUCGGACUCCUAUGCCCAAGCUGCUCUGUGACAAUCUUGGUGCCACUCAUGUUUGCACAAAUCCUAGAUAUCACUCUCGUAUGAAGCAUGUGGAAAUUGACUUUUAUUUUGUUCGUGAUAAGAUUACGCAAGGUUUACUGUCUGUUGCUCAUGUUCCUUCUGAGCAUCAGCUCGCUGAUAUCUUAACCAAGCCGCUUCCCCGGCUUCCCCUUGAGCAUGCACGGUCCAAGCUCAGUGUUCUCGACGGUACACCUCUCUUGCGGGGGCGUAAUAGCUUAACGUGAUCUUCAUGUUCUUAGUUGGUAGUAUUUCAUUAUGUUUAGAAGUGCAGUAGUUCAUUAUGUUAAGAAGUAUAUUACUUAUUAUCUCUUUAGCUGUAACGUGUAUAUAAUGUAACACUCAAUAGCAAUACAAUAAGCAGUUCCAUGCAAGCUUAACAAAGAUAUGACUAUAUUUAAAAAAAUAUUUUUUUGAUAUUUAAUUCACGCAUCUAAUAAAGCUUGAAUUUAGCACUUGAGUUUUAGGAAAUUAACUUUGUAUUGGUAAUUUCUAGUAUUUUUGUUAAAAAUUUUGAAAUAAUUACAAUAUUGCUUGACGACAAAUCCAAUAAUGCUUUUUAUCAUGUAAGCAUGGUUUGAACCUCAAAUCUUUGAUUCUAUCCCAAAAAUUAAUCGAAUCUGUUAAUUAGUCAAGAGUUAUUGAGCCUUUGGCUCGAUACUAAUUGCUCUCAACUUCAAGGUACGAGUUCAAGUUCCAGCCUCUGGGAGACUCAAAUUUUCCCUCCCAAUUAUAUAAUUGGAUAUCCUUUCAAUAUUGGUGGCAGCAGGUAUAUAUUUGGGCUAUGAUAUAAUUGAAUAGAUCUAGGGAAGUCCCAGAUGAUUUCUAGUGAGGACAUGUAUAUCUAGAUUAUGAUUGAAUUCUAUAUGUAUACGUAAAUAUUAGUAGACUUUGAUUGAUAUGAUUUCUAUACGUAUACGUAAAUAUUAGUAGACUUUUGGUUGAUAUUUUAAUCACUCAUCUAUAAAUUCCAACCUAUAUGUCUUUUUUUAUCAUCACAACAACCACAGCAUGGAUACUAUUGGAGCUGAUACUAAAAUAUCCAAUACCUACUUGCCUGAAAAGCCUGAACUUUCACCAACUUUGAUUUCAGACACUGAACUCCUAUCUGAAUUCUCACACCAUGUCCAAAACAUAGCUAGAAUCAAUAAUGGAAGCUUUGGUUGUUGCCCGAAGAGUGUUAUAUCAGCACAGCAGAAGUGGCAACUUGAGUUCCUCAAACAACCUGAUGACUUUUACUUCAAUCGGCUGAAAGAUGAGAUUUUGAAAUCCAGACUUGUGAUCAGAGACUUGGUCAAUGCUGACCAUGUUGAUGAAAUAUCAAUUGUUGAUAAUGCCACCACUGCUACAGCCAUUGUGUUGCAGAGUGUUGCUUGGGAAUUUUUGCAAGGGAAGUUUAACAAAGGUGAUGCUGUUGUCAUGCUUCAAUAUGCUUAUGGCGCUGUGAAAAAAUCUCUGGAAGCAUAUGUUACGCGUGCAGGUGGGUAUGUUAUUGAAGCUUGGUUUCUAUUUCCUGUUAAUUCUGAUGGUGAGAUUGUCAGUGAGUUUCGGAAAGCUUUAGAAAGAGGGAAAGCCAAUGGUAGGAAAGUCAGAUUGGCUAUGAUUGAUCAUGUGACGUCUAUUCCUAGUGUUCCGAUUCCGGUUAAAGAAUUGAUCAAGAUUUGUCGGGAAGAGGGUGUCGAUAAAGUAUUUGUUGAUGGUGCACAGGGGAUUGGGUGUGUUGAUGUUGACAUGAAAGAAAUUGGGGCUGAUUUUUACACUGGUACUUUGAACAAGUGGGUUUUUUGCCCGCCUGGGGCAGCGUUUUUGUAUUGUAGGAAAUCAAAUGAAAUUGAUGAUUUGCAUCACCCUGUGGUGUCUCAUGAGUAUGGAAAUGGGUUGGCUAUCGAGAGUGCUUGGAUUGGAACUAGGGAUUAUAGUGCCCAACUGGUGGUUCCUCAAGCUUUGGAGUUUGUUAACAGAUUUGAAGGGGGAAUUGAAGGAAUCAAGAAGAGGAAUCAUAAAGCUGUUGUUGAGAUGGGGGAGAUGUUGGCAAAAGCAUGGGGAACCCAUCUUGGGUCUCCUCCGGAGAUGUGUUCAAGCAUGAUCAUGGUUGGCUUGCCUGCUAUUUUGGGUAUUUCUAGUGAUUCCAUUGCUUUAAAGUUGAGAACCCACUUGAGGAAUAAUUUUUCUGUUGAAGUACCUAUCUAUUAUAGGG